This 1339-nucleotide long non-coding RNA is filed under the name Capra hircus (goat). RNAcentral's name for it is "lncRNA (ENSCHIG00010009865.1)". The record is from RNAcentral. Lineage: Eukaryota; Metazoa; Chordata; Mammalia; Artiodactyla; Bovidae.
GUAGGCACUUCUUGCCUUUCAUGGGCACUUUUCUCCUUAAAAAUACCCAAAAUCGUAUUUUAGGACUGUGUUGGUAUAACGACAGAUGGUAACUACUAAUAGAUUUUCCUCAACCUAAAAUUUCACUUGUUUUCUGAUUCUCCAAGAAGUUAAAACAGUUUCGUGUGUCCCUAGCCCAAGCUAUAACGUGUAAUGGAGAAGCCUUUCUGCUCAGCGUUCAUUGUAAUAUUCCGUUUCUUACACCAUGGUGAGUUUUAGCAUUUUAUACAACCAUCCUUUCAUGGCUAGUUUAAUAACGUAUCUCAUGCAUCGUGCAAGGAUACAAAUGAAAAUGAUUAUCUCAGGCACAUAGAAAUUCAAGUGAUUUUUACUAUCUUGUUUCUCUUUCAAAAGUUUUUUUUUUUUUCAAUAGCCAGCUGGAUCCCUAUUUUUCAGAAGUACUAUUUUUUAAAGGAUAUACACACACAACUUAUAGCACAAUAUAUAAUUCGUGACUUUCCUAUUUAACCCCUGGAUUUUACUUUGGCCAACACCGUCCAAGAGACAGAGGAAAACCGAGAAAUGAGAAUUAACGGUCACCGCCUUGGGCCUGGACGGUUAAAAUUUCCAUAACGGGCACAGGGCUUUCCGAUAAGCCACGCCCCCUUCUGGAAUGUUCACCAGCACCCUUCCCCCGCUUCAUCCACUGCCCCUUCUCAUUCUGCGGGUCGAGUUCUCCGGGGUAAGGUCGUCGGUGGCCCUCUUCUCCAGCUGUGCCCGCCUCGGCCUCUCUGCUUUGCUUCUCCGAACUGGGCCCGCCUCGGCCUCUGCUUUCCUUUAGAGCCUUGAUCAUAACUAAUAAUUAUUACUUUUUUUCCUGUCAUCUUCUCAGCUACUGGUGGCGCCUCGUCGUUGUUGUCGUCAGUCAGUAGUAGCGUCAAGAAAGAAAAGGGUAGGCUUUCCAGGGGUUGUACUGUUUUCCUCUGUAUUUCUUCUCUUUGCAGUCUUUUUUUUUUUUUUUACUAAGUAUAUAUCUGUUUCCCACGAAUUACGUGUUGUUUACGCACUAUUCUGUUUUAGGCCUUAAAUCUAAAAAGAAAAAAAAUUGCUUCGCAACUCAUAACAGGUUCUGCUGAAACUCGUGAGGCGUCGAAGAGAGAAGAAACAGACCCAAACGGAAAAGGCAGGACGGUAGGCGUACAGGGGCCCCAGGGUGGGCCCGUCAGGCGCGGCUGCUGCCGGCACAAAUCCUGGGCCAGGCCUGGGUCAACGUUAGGCCACGAGCUUGCCUCGGGGGCCUUGGGGGCCUCUGCCCCUCCCGCCCCUGCCCCCGCCCCCGCUCCCUGCCCCUCCUGCCCCU